GAUUAACGCUGGCGGCGUGCCUAACACAUGCAAGUCGAACGAGGUAGCAAUACCUAGUGGCAGACGGGUGAGUAACGCGUGGUCAACCUACCGUUGAGUGGGGGAUAACUAGCCGAAAGGUUAGCUAAUACCGCAUACGUCUCCGAGUGGCAUCACUUGGCGAUAAAAGGAAGCAAUCCGCUCGAUGACGGGACCGCGUCCCAUUAGCUAGAUGGUGGGGUAACGGCCUACCAUGGCACCGAUGGUAGCUGGUUUGAGAGAGCGACCAGCCACACUGGGACUGAGAAACGGCCCAGACUCCUACGGGAGGGCAGCAGUGAGGAAUUUUCCGCAAUGGGCGCAAGCCUGACGGAGCGACGCCGCGUGUGGG
Molecule: ribosomal RNA, 370 nt
Filed under: uncultured bacterium
Lineage: Bacteria
Description: bacterial SSU rRNA
Rfam family: Bacterial small subunit ribosomal RNA
Source: RNAcentral